GCAGAAGUGGCGGAACUGGCAGACGUGCAAGACUAAGGAUCUUGUGCCCGUAUAGGGUGUAGGGGUUCGAGUCCCCUCUUCUGCACCA
This 88-nucleotide transfer RNA is filed under the name Candidatus Cloacimonadota bacterium. Its description in RNAcentral is "tRNA-Leu". It matches the Rfam family "tRNA". Rfam says of the family: Transfer RNA (tRNA) molecules are approximately 80 nucleotides in length. Their secondary structure includes four short double-helical elements and three loops (D, anti-codon, and T loops). Further hydrogen bonds mediate the characteristic L-shaped molecular structure. tRNAs have two regions of fundamental functional importance: the anti-codon, which is responsible for specific mRNA codon recognition, and the 3' end, to which the tRNAs corresponding amino acid is attached (by aminoacyl-tRNA synthetases). tRNAs cope with the degeneracy of the genetic code in two manners: having more than one tRNA (with a specific anti-codon) for a particular amino acid; and 'wobble' base-pairing, i.e. permitting non-standard base-pairing at the 3rd anti-codon position. Lineage: Bacteria; Pseudomonadati; Candidatus Cloacimonadota. RNAcentral also lists the same sequence under 1 other name. The record is from RNAcentral.